GUCCACUCAGUUUAAAUUUACAUCAGAUUGAAAUUUUGCUUCACCUAUUACUAACAUUGGCAAAGGAUGAGUAUUUUAAUUGAAAAAAAUCAAAUCAAAUCGAUUUGAUUGGAUUUUUGGAUUCAUUAAUUCGGUUUCGAUGAUCAUUGCCAAUUCAAUGAAGAAAUUUCAGUUAUUAAAAAAAAUAAUAAUAAAGGAAGAAACUUGUUAGGGUGGUUGAGAUGAAGUAAAUCCUUUCCAAUUGGGGAUUUAGUUUCUCUAAAUCCUAAGCAAUGCUUAGGUAUCCAACCAGAUGCAGUUGUUGCUAGAUAAGCUUUCGCCCUCAAAACUCCAAGCAUCAGCUCCUGGUCAAAACUUACUUGGACCCCAACAAAAUCCAAUCACACAAUUCACUGAGACUCAAAUCAAACUACAAAUUGGUGAUGCCAGCUUUACACCCAGCUGCAGUCCUUUCCAGAGAAACUGACUGGGAGAGAGGCAAAGCAUCCACAAACACCACGCCACAGUGGAAGUUAAAAACUUUCAGCUUUCGGCCACCCUUCAAAAUGGAAGCAUCAAAAACUCGCCAUUUACACACGCCUUUAUUCCAAUACCCAAAACAGCCAAAACCGACAAACCUACAGCUCUUCUCUCUUAUCUCAAGGUCUCUCACCUACUAAUAACGUUUUCUUGUCCAGAAAAAGUAGCAGUGUAUGUUAUGGAUCAUGACAAAAACAAAGCUCUUGAGUUGAGACAGGUUCUCAUUUAUCUUGUGACUUAAAUGUUAUAGCUGCAACAGUGGCAAGUGAUCCAGCAAAAUAUAAUGAAGCAUUUCUUGGAAAACCAAAUGAGGAAUAUUGUGCUUGGAUUCUUGACUUAGAGAAGUGGGGAGGUAUGCUAAACUUAUUUUCUCUGCUAUCAAGUCCAUGCUUUGUUAUGUAGAUGUCAAAUUACCAAAACUAGUCUGGAAUUGGGGACUGUUAAGUGUUAAGAACAUGAAAUUUAUUAUCUACAAAAUUUAUUAUAAGCAGCAGCUACGUCUGCUGAAAAUGUUCCUUUUCAGUGAACAAAAUUACUUCAAUAUUUAGAAUAUGAACUUUUGUCAGUGUUGCCUAUGACAAGCAACAAUAUUUUCCUGUAAGGCCUAGAAAAAGAUGGCUGUUUUAUUGUCAGCUAAACUACAGUGCUAGAGUCAAGAUGCUAGAAAGUAGUUAUUGUGGUGUAUUUAGGAUGCUUCUAUAGAUAUUUGAAAAUUUUCUUCUUUAAAAAUGCUUAAACUGAAAAAGACUAAAAAUGAGUUUUUAUUACUUAUUUUACCAUGCUAGUUUAUGUAUUUGUACCUUUAAUUGCUCAGUCAUUAAAGCCCUUGAGUUUGGCUCCUGCUAGCUAUAGAUACCUUUUAGGAGCUAGAAGCUUCAUCUGUUUGGGCAUAAACUUCUCUGAUGUUAGAUUGGACCAAAUUAUUUUCUCAUCUCUUCUUUUCUCUGCCUAACUGGUGAAAACGUUAGGCAUAACUUGAAAAUUCAUGUUUUAUGCUGUCUUCACGAAUGUCGAAUUUCUUGUGAAAGUAGAUUAAUGAAAUUUGAGUCUUACAUAGUCUAAACUUCAGCAGUAUUAGGAAAUUGCUGGAUCUAGGAUGUUGUCUUGGCUUCUACUAGACAUUUUCUCAUUCUAUUUGAUAAGAUUUACGUAAAUAUCUGCUUCAAUGUAAAUAUUCAAGCAUUCUUGUCCUUUUUUGGCAAGCAGGAAUGUUAACUGUAUUGUGCUACUGAUUUUCUGUAUGUGAUGUUUUAAGGUGCCAUUGAGAUUUCAAUAUUAGCUGAUUAUUAUGGGUGUGCAAUUGCUGCAUAUGAUAUCGAAACACUACGAUAUGAUUUGUAUGGUCAGGUCAGCACUAGUAGUGGUUCUCUUUAUAUCACGGUCAUUCCAAGUUAUGUCACUGAAUGUUUCUUUUGUUCUUU
RNAcentral lists this unclassified non-coding RNA (1940 nucleotides) under Hevea brasiliensis (rubber tree). The record is from RNAcentral. Lineage: Eukaryota; Viridiplantae; Streptophyta; Magnoliopsida; Malpighiales; Euphorbiaceae.